GCCCGCUUGGCUUAGUGGUAAAGCGUAUCACUAGUAGGGAGACCUCAUGAUAUGAUAAGAUCGUCAGUUCGAUUCUGACAGUGGGCA
This is a transfer RNA of 87 nucleotides. It matches the Rfam family "tRNA". From Rfam's summary of the family: Transfer RNA (tRNA) molecules are approximately 80 nucleotides in length. The record is from Rfam.